CCUACGGGAGGCAGCAGUGAGGAAUAUUGGACAAUGGGCGCAAGCCUGAUCCAGCCAUGCCGCGUGCAGGAAGAAGCAUCUAUGGUGUGUAAACUGCUUUUGUACAGGAAGAAACACUCCCUCGUGAGGGAGCUUGACGGUACUGUAAGAAUAAGGACCGGCUAACUCCGUGCCAGCAGCCGCGGUAAUACGGAGGGUCCGAGCGUUAUCCGGAAUCAUUGGGUUUAAAGGGUCCGUAGGCGGUUUAANAAGUCAGUGGUGAAAUCUGGUCGCUCAACGAUCAAACGGCCAUUGAUACUGUUAGACUUGAAUUAUAAGGAAGUAACUAGAAUAUGUAGUGUAGCGGUGAAAUGCUUAGAUAUUACAUGGAAUACCAAUUGNGAGCAGUACUACUAUG
Molecule: ribosomal RNA, 397 nt
Filed under: uncultured bacterium
Lineage: Bacteria
Description: bacterial SSU rRNA
Rfam family: Bacterial small subunit ribosomal RNA
Source: RNAcentral